CCUACGGGUGGCAGCAGUGGGGAAUAUUGGGCAAUGGGCGCAAGCCUGACCCAGCAAUGCCGCGUGAGGGAAGAAGGCUUUCGGGUUGUAAACUUCUGUGACAGGGGAAGAGCAGAAGGCGGUACCCUGAAAACAAGCCACGGCUAACUACGUGCCAGCAGCCGAGGUAAUACGAAGGUGGCAAGCGUUGUCCGGAUUUACUGGGUGUAAAGGGCGUGUAGCCGGGAAGGCAAGUCAGAUGUGAAAGCUUGAGGCUCAACCUCCAAAUUGCAUUUGAAACUGUGUUUCUUGAGUACUGGAGAGGCAGACGGAAUUCCUGGUGUAGCGGUGGAAUGCGUAGAUAUAAGGAGGAACACCAGUGGCGAAGGCGGUCUGCUGGACAGCAACUGACGGUGAGGCGCGAAAGCGUGGGGAGCAAACAGGAUUAGAUACCCGGGUAGUC
Molecule: ribosomal RNA, 442 nt
Filed under: uncultured bacterium
Lineage: Bacteria
Description: partial 16S ribosomal RNA
Rfam family: Bacterial small subunit ribosomal RNA
Source: RNAcentral